GCUUGCUGCUGAUCCAGGAAUUGUUGCAAUCAUGAAUAAGCAUCGCUGGCACGUAGGAAUCAUGACAGAGAUGGCACCAGAAGGCUAUGUUGGUGUUAGUCCUGAAUGCAUUCUUGGCUUCAAUAAGAAUCACGGCGAGGAGAUAUCACUACGUCUUCGUACAGAUGACCUCAAGGGUUUUAGGAAGUAUGAUAGCAUCAAGAAGACACUCUUGCAUGAACUUUCACACAUGGUACAUUCUGAACAUGACAUGAACUUCUAUGCUCUGCUUAAGCAGCUUAAUGAAGAAGCUGAUAAGUUGGACUGGACUAAAUCAAGAGGUCAUAGUUUGAGUGGUCACAGUUUG
This 346-nucleotide unclassified non-coding RNA is filed under the name Hevea brasiliensis (rubber tree). The record is from RNAcentral. Lineage: Eukaryota; Viridiplantae; Streptophyta; Magnoliopsida; Malpighiales; Euphorbiaceae.